This 600-nucleotide ribosomal RNA is filed under the name Hysterangium sp. 'setchellii'. RNAcentral's name for it is "eukaryotic LSU rRNA". The stretch from base 166 to 320 matches the Rfam family "5.8S ribosomal RNA". The record is from RNAcentral. Lineage: Eukaryota; Fungi; Basidiomycota; Agaricomycetes; Hysterangiales; Hysterangiaceae.
AUCAUUAAUGAACGUCGUUGAUCAUCAUCGGGUGGCCCUCGGGCCGUCCGUGCCGGAAAUUCACACCCACGUGCACCUCGGGAGGUGGCGGUUUUUUCCGUCGGCUCCCUCUCGCAAAAAAAAUGCCUGUCAGUGAAGCAUGUCGGAGAGCUAUACGUUACAUACAACUUUCAACAACGGAUCUCUUGGCUUUCGCAUCGAUGAAGAACGCAGCGAAAGUGCGAAACGUAAUGUGAAUUGCAGAAUUCAGUGAAUCAUCGAAUCUUUGAACGCAUCUUGCGCUCUUCGGUAUUCCGAGGAGCAUGCCUGUUUGAGUGUCGUGACAAUCUCUCGACCUUCCCCUCGCGUUCGCGUUCGGAGGGUCGGAUUUUGGACGUUGCCGUCUUUCAUCGGAAGGCUCGUCUCGAAAUGCAUUAGCCUCGUUCCGGCCUCGGUCCUUCCACAGACGAUAUGGCGUGAUAAUGAAAAAACUCGCUGGCGUCGGUGUCGGGCCUUGGAGACGGGGUGGGCUCACAGUCGUCUCCGGACAAUUUCCCUCGAUCUGACCUCAAAUCAGGUAGGACUACCCGCUGAACUUAAGCAUAUCAAUAAGCGGAGGAA